RNAcentral lists this ribosomal RNA (292 nucleotides) under uncultured bacterium. RNAcentral describes it as "partial 16S ribosomal RNA". It matches the Rfam family "Bacterial small subunit ribosomal RNA", at positions 505 to 796 of the family's 1533-position model. The record is from RNAcentral.
GUGUCAGCAGCCGCGGUAAAACGUAGGAGGCGAGCGUUAUCCGGAUUUACUGGGUGUAAAGCGCGUGCAGGCGGCUCGUUAAGUUGGGUGUGAAAGCUCCUGGCUCAACUGGGAGAGGUCGCUCAAGACUGGCGGGCUAGAGAGUGGUAGAGGAAGGUGGAAUUCCGGGUGUAGUGGUGAAAUGCGUAGAUAUCCGGAGGAACACCAGUGGCGAAAGCGGCCUUCUGGGCCACAUCUGACGCUCAGACGCGAAAGCUAGGGUAGCAAACGGGAUUAGAUACCCCCGUAGUCC